This 693-nucleotide long non-coding RNA is filed under the name Homo sapiens (human). RNAcentral's name for it is "non-protein coding lnc-TRIM17-1:1". Lineage: Eukaryota; Metazoa; Chordata; Mammalia; Primates; Hominidae. The record is from RNAcentral.
AACAUGGAGUCAGAUGCUAUCACGUAUCAGGCAGUGACACAGGAAGGACGCACGCCCAAGAGUGGGGCUGAGCAGGGAGCCUGCAGGGCAGGUGGAGCUGGGAGAGGAAGCAGUGCAACCACAGGGUUGGGCUCCAGCUGGGGUGGAGGUGCCCCUAUGCUGAAGGCUGGGAUGUGUGCCUGUCCUGUCCUUGGCACCCAGAGGCGCCCACUUGGGGCUCUGGGUGAGUGAGCCAACAGCCAGAUGCCCUACAUCCAAGUGUCAGGCAGAAGUGGGCCUUGGUCCGCAGGGCUGGGCUGCACCCCAUUGGUGAUGCCUCCUGGCACACAUGUCAGAGCCUCUGUCCAGCAUUCCUGUGUCUGAGCCUUGCUGCGGGUGGUUUAUGGCCCCCUGUGUGUGUUUUUGCUGCCUGACGCUCAAAUGUAGGAGAGGGGGACGGGGCGAGGCUCCAGGGGCGGGGAGGGGACUCCAGGAGCAAGCGAUGGUCACUGACACCGAGUGUGCUGUUUCUCCUCCCCACAUAGGACAUCAAGGACGCCCUGCGCAGGGUCCAGGAUGUGAAGCUGCAGCCCCCAGAAGUUGUGCCUAUGGAGCUGAGGACCGUGUGCAGGGUCCCGGGACUGGUAGAGACACUGCGGAGGUUUCGAGGGGACGUGACCUUGGACCCGGACACCGCCAACCCUGAGCUGAUCC